GCUUGAUAUUUAUUGAAAAUAAUGCCAAUGCUUUUUCCAGGUAGUAUUGAGGAGCUGGGCUCAGUGCUUGUUUGUUUUGUUUUUAAGUACUAUUUGUCCAAAUGCACACAUCUGUGGGACUGCUGCAAUUUUGAAAGAAAAAUGACAGCUGUGUAAAACCAGUGCAUAGGAAAAAAGAAGUGUCAACAAUUUGGCUGCCAGGCACACCGCGCCCCUGCAGCAAUCUGGUGGGGCAGGGGAGGACACUCGGAGUAGGUAGAAAACUAACCAGGCUGAACGGCCCCUUCAGGGGUUGGUGAGCUGUCCAAAUCAAUGUCUGAAAAGGCAUAGCCAACUCUGGCAUUUUCCAGGUUGGUCCUGAUCUCGAAAGGUGGUAGUCUGUAGGUGGGAUGUGGUGAGUGGAUGUGAAGUGGCAGCAUAGUUCUCUGGGAAGAUGUAAGCCUGGCAGCAGGGCAGGUGGCAGCAGCAGGGCUAUGGGUGGUCUGCGGAGUUUGUAACAGGGGCCUGGCCAAUAGCUGGGGUUCAGGACACAGUUCAGAUUAGCAGGGGAGGGAUCCCGGGGAUGGCCAGGGUAGAUGACACUUCCAAGCACUUCCGAGUGAGUGAGGCUCCAGCCCCGACCCCAGCAGCAGGUAACUGGAGCGCUAUUCCUGGAACAAAGACAAGCACUACGGAGAAAUGAAGAGAGAGAGCAGACGGGCGCGGAUACGCCAGUGAAGACUAUAGCUUCCACUCACUCCUUUCUGCCUCCUGGUGUUCACCCACGUGUCCCUGCAUGAUGUGGUGAGCCU
Molecule: long non-coding RNA, 791 nt
Filed under: Pan troglodytes (chimpanzee)
Lineage: Eukaryota; Metazoa; Chordata; Mammalia; Primates; Hominidae
Description: long non-coding RNA NONPTRT018375
Source: RNAcentral